CCUACGGGUGGCAGCAGUGGGGAAUCUUGCGCAAUGGGCGAAAGCCUGACGCAGCGACGCCGCGUGAGGGAUGAAGGUCUUCGGAUCGUAAACCUCUGUCAGCAGGGAAGAACGGUCACUGUGCUAAUCAGCAGUGAAUUGACGGUACCUGCAAAGGAAGUACCGGCUAACUCCGUGCCAGCAGCCGCGGUAAUACGGAGGGUGCGAGCGUUAAUCGGAAUUACUGGGCGUAAAGCGCUCGUAGGCGGUAUGUCAAGUCAAGGGUGAAAUCCCCGCGCUCAACGUGGGAACUGCCUUUGAAACUGGCAGACUGGAGUGUGUGAGAGGAUAGUGGAAUUCCAGGUGUAGGAGUGAAAUCCGUAGAUAUCUGGAGGAACAUCAGUGGCGAAGGCGACUAUCUGGCACAUAACUGACGCUGAGGAGCGAAAGCGUGGGUAGCAAACAGGAUUAGAUACCCGGGUAGUC
This 465-nucleotide ribosomal RNA is filed under the name uncultured bacterium. RNAcentral describes it as "partial 16S ribosomal RNA". It matches the Rfam family "Bacterial small subunit ribosomal RNA", at positions 338 to 795 of the family's 1533-position model. The record is from RNAcentral.